Molecule: ribosomal RNA, 301 nt
Filed under: uncultured bacterium
Lineage: Bacteria
Description: partial 16S ribosomal RNA
Rfam family: Bacterial small subunit ribosomal RNA
Source: RNAcentral
CAGCCGCCACGGGAAUACGAAGGGGGCUAGCGUUGUUCGGAAUUACUGGGCGUAAAGGGAGCGUAGGCGGACAUUUAAGUCAGGGGUGAAAUCCCGGGGCUCAACCUCGGAACUGCCUUUGAUACUGGGUGUCUUGAGUGUGGAAGAGGUAAGUGGAAUUGCGAGUGUAGAGGUGAAAUUCGUAGAUAUUCGCAGGAACACCAGUGGCGAAGGCGGCUUACUGGUCCACAACUGACGCUGAGGUGCGAAAGCGUGGGGAGCAAACAGGAUUAGAUACCCGCGUAGUCCCUGUCUCUUAUAC